AACGGUUCAGGGGCAGAGCAACCGCCAAACUCCCGCCGUUUAAAUUAUGGAGAGGGCCCCGUCCUCGAGCGUCCUUCUCCCCUCACAAAGUUGCUGUAUUUGAAAUUGUGAAAUGGAAGUAGUUGGAUUGAACUGCCUCAACUUGAUUGCUGCAGUUUCUAUUAAGAAACUAAACUGUGAAGAUAAGACAAGUAGGUGGAAAUUAAGCAAGUGUGGUCUUGCAACUUGAAAGACAUGGGCAUUUCUGUGCUGUAAACUUGAAGAGGAUGGCCUUUUUCCACCUGAAAGUAAGGUGGAGUAACAUUGCUGAAAGGUAUCCCUCUUAAUAGAGAUAUGAAGAAUGGACUGGUCCAGGUCUUAGUGCAAAGUUGAGGGAUAUCCAGUCCAUGCGAGAUGAUCUCUGGAAACUUCAUUACCAGCUAUCAAGACUGUUCAGAAGUAAAUCACCUGGCACUUUUUAUCUUCAGGUCUGUCAGAGCUGAAGAUUGCAGUGAUUACUACACAAUUAACAGGUUGGAGGGCACUGUUACAAAGGGAAAAGCUCCUGAAAAUUUAGUUUGACUUGGACCCACCUUGGCAAUUUUGUUUUUUUCAGGC
Long non-coding RNA from Hemiscyllium ocellatum (epaulette shark), 597 nucleotides. RefSeq lists it as uncharacterized. NCBI's taxonomy places the organism in Eukaryota, Metazoa, Chordata, Chondrichthyes, Orectolobiformes, Hemiscylliidae. The record is from RefSeq and is a predicted model, not a curated record. The transcript has 8 exons.